RNAcentral lists this long non-coding RNA (952 nucleotides) under Schizosaccharomyces pombe (fission yeast). The record is from RNAcentral. Lineage: Eukaryota; Fungi; Ascomycota; Schizosaccharomycetes; Schizosaccharomycetales; Schizosaccharomycetaceae.
CGUGUAACCGUUUGUUUAUGCUGAAAAUCCGUAAAAAAACAUGCUACUUGAUCACUUCAAAAUUACACUUUUUUAUCCAAUCAUAUUUUUCAGAUACUACCUUAUUGUUCUUUCUGGUCAAGGUGAAUUAGCCACUAAGCCAAUGAGAAAUCCAAUUUUGUUACCUGAGAAUAGGGCGACAUCGUACGAUUCGAGGGUUUGUGAGGUGAAUGACUGCGGGGCUUAUGUUGCGAUCGAACGAUGGCACGUCCAUUGGACCGAGAUAAUACACAUGUUUACCGUAGCUCGUAACGCACAUUUAACAAACUACUUGCUUCUACCCUACUUUAUCACCUAAAAAUAAAAAUGUGUCAACAUGUGCACGUCUACUAUACCUUCUACUAUUUGUUCGGUAAACCACCAACCGUGCCUCCUUAUACGUCUUCUCCAAACAUGUAAUUGGAUUCGAACAACUUUAGCUCGACAAGUCGUUUAGCUUACGAACAUCCAAAAGCUUAUCUAAUGACCUAACUAACUCGCUCUUUUUGGUCGCAUGACUUUGCAUACGAUUGUUUAGUAAUAAAAACAAUAAUCCUUUUCACACCUGUUUUUACCCAUGGGAAAGCGGUUCCCAAAGUUUGUCACUUACUCCCAUAUUCUAAUCUAGAUUAAAACACAUUUAGCUGCGAACAUGGCACACCGGUUAAUACCCAGCCAUAGUUGAAAUUAGUAGACAAAUUGACUGAGUAUCUCUUAUCAAAAGUCAAUACACAUUUUGUUUGCGCUGACAUUAAACAUCGUUGCUCUUAUGAAUGCUAUGUGUGUGUGUGUGUGUAUGUGGAAAUGUGUUAGUCAGUCAGUGUUUGCUUGAAAUUCGCUGUGUGAAAAUAAUAAAGUGAAAAAUAAAUAAAAGGUUGUAAAACCGAAUUCGUACAGUAAGGUGAGCGCCGACAAAAGCUCUUGAGAAAAAAAA